Molecule: non-coding RNA, 73 nt
Organism: Brassica napus (rape)
Lineage: Eukaryota; Viridiplantae; Streptophyta; Magnoliopsida; Brassicales; Brassicaceae
Source: Rfam
UUCCCCGUAGCUCAGUUGGUUAGAGCGUUGGUCUUAUGAGCCGAAGGUCGCGGGUUCGAGCUCGCCGGGGAAA